UGUUGUCCCCUCUCUCUGCUCUCAGUGUGUGGUUCGACAGCACCACCCCAGGUUCACCUCCUGGUGCCCACCUGCGAGGAGAGCUCCACAGAGAGCCAGCUGGAGCUGGUUUGCCUCCUCCUGAGCUUCAAACCUGGCAAUGCCGAUGUGAAAUGGAUGGUGAAUGGAAAGGAGAGCAGGCCCCCCACCCUGGCCUUUUCCUCUGCAAUGGGCACAGACGGCUUCUACGUGGGGCAGAGCCGCAUGAAGGUCACCAAGCAGAGCUGGGAGAAGGGGGACGUCUACACCUGCCAAGUGACCCACCCAGCAGUGGGAGCAGAGCUCUCCAGGCACAACACCAGCAAGUGCUUGGCCUGCCUCAGAAGCUCACUUGACCCAACCAUCUUCUUAACCAAACCCUCCUAUGAAGACGUCAUCAGAAAUUCUGGUCAUGUUACCUGUCUGGUUCUGGGUUAUGACUUAUCAGCCAGCAGAAUCGCAUGGAAAGUGGAUGAACAGGUCAGCUCUGCGGCGAAGACAGAACCCCCCAAGAAGAACAGCAACGGGACCACCAGCCUGGUCAGUUCUCACCCUGUGUCCCCGGCACAAUGGCGACAAGGGACCCAAUUUACCUGCAAAGUGACCACAUCCUGUUCUGGAGAACUAACCCAGGACAUAACCGUGAGCAAUACAGGUGUCAGCAACUGUAAUCAACACCCUCUGGAGGUGUCUCUUCUCCCCCCUUCCCUGGAGGACCUCUACAUAGUGCAGAACGCCACCAUCAGUUGUUUGAUGAGCGGCAUGGAGACCCCUCGCAGCCUGGAGGUCUCCUGGAACCGGGGUAGCGGUGGCCCGUUGGCCGUGGUCUCCAGGGAUCUGGUGCUGCACGAAGAUGGCACCUACAGUGCAACCAGCAUCCUGCGGGUGUGCGUGGAGGAGUGGCAGACGGGGGAGGAUUUCACCUGCACCGUGAAGCACCAAGACUUCCCGUCGGCCAUUGUCAAGACCAUCCACAAGAGUCACAUGGUCUUCCUCCAGGCCCCUUCUGUCUACAUCUCCCCUCCUCACGCUGAGGAACUGGCUCUCCGGGAAUCAGCCACCAUCACCUGCCUGGCCUCCGGAUUCCGGCCCAGAGAUAUCUUGGUGACAUGGACCCAGCAGAACCGGCCCGUGUAA
Chelonoidis abingdonii (Abingdon island giant tortoise) is the source of this 1155-nucleotide non-coding RNA. The record is from the annotation of a RefSeq genome assembly. Lineage: Eukaryota; Metazoa; Chordata; Testudines; Testudinidae.